Molecule: long non-coding RNA, 1012 nt
Filed under: Equus asinus (donkey)
Lineage: Eukaryota; Metazoa; Chordata; Mammalia; Perissodactyla; Equidae
Description: lncRNA (ENSEASG00005038072.1)
Source: RNAcentral
GGGGACUCCCGGGCCGACACGGCGCAGAGGUGCACGCCGAGGAACCCGCUCACCUUUACGAUCUGCGGGCGCGGCAGGACACAUGCCGCGAGGGGCCCCCCGCACGCCCCCGCCAACUUCUCCCGAAUCCGCCGCAGUCCGCGGGGCAGCCGGCUGUCAGGACCCCCGCGCGCCGCCCCGACCUCCCCCACAGGAUUAUAUGUUGCAAACAAUAGAAAUCUAUUCUUGAAAACUCAAGCAAAAAGAGAAUUGACUGGAAGGCUAUAGGGCACCUCAACAUCAAAAGAAGCUCAAGCACCAGCUUUGAGAAAGAGCGAGAACCUGGAAAGCUCUAAGGAUUUUGGGAGCAGUAGUGAAUUUAAUAGUCCUAUCAAAGUGUCAUCACAGAGAGGAAUCAGCUUCUGCCAUUCUUCCUGUCUUUGAGCAUUCAGAAAGAAUCCUGACUUAUGCAGUGGCCUCCUUCAGAAUUCAGGCACCUGCAUUAUCAGAGGCUUGGUCUGAAUCAGAUGAAAGGUGGCAACAUGGCAAAAUAAAAUGAGCAUGUAUAGCACGCCUUCCGGGCAGCAAGCAUGGAGCCAGGCGCUUCCUCAAGGACUGUCUCUCAAGUGCAAGGGUGGCGGCCUGGACUGAUGGGACGCGUGUGAUGCUGACUGUGGAAGCUGAGAACAACAUUGUAACCAUGCCCUGCGUGCUGGUGCUCAACCUGAACCUCUGAUUGGUGAGGGGUUAGGCUGAGAGGUUGACUUUCUCACAGAAACACAGAUGGCCUGUCCUCUCCUGAACACAGAGUGUGAGGAGCUGACGUUUACUGAUACGAUGUCCAACUUGAUGCCCAGGUGUUAGACUAUUCCAAAAUGCAACCUGUUUCGACAUGUUAACUCCGUUCUUCUCAGUUCAGUGGCUAUCAGCAUGUCAGCACCUGCAGAUCAUUCCAUGAAGUUGUGGAAAGAGCUGAUUUUUAAUUCAGAUUAUGUGAAAGUUACAGGAAUUUAUCUUAGAAAAAAAAAUAGAC